CGUACACUCCGCGGGAGGCAGCAGUGGGGAAUUUUGGACAAUGGGCGAAAGCCUGAUCCAGCAAUGCCGCGUGAGUGAAGAAGGCCUUCGGGUUGUAAAGCUCUUUUGUCAGGGAAGAAACGGUGAGAGCUAAUAUCUUUUGCUAAUGACGGUACCUGAAGAAUAAGCACCGGCUAACUACGUGCCAGCAGCCGCGGUAAUACGUAGGGUGCAAGCGUUAAUCGGAAUUACUGGGCGUAAAGCGUGCGCAGGCGGUUUUGUAAGUCUGAUGUGAAAUCCCCGGGCUCAACCUGGGAAUUGCAUUGGAGACUGCAAGGCUAGAAUCUGGCAGAGGGGGGUAGAAUUCCACGUGUAGCAGUGAAAUGCGUAGAUAUGUGGAGGAACACCGAUGGCGAAGUCAGCCCCCUGGGUCAAGAUUGACGCUCAUGCACGAAAGCGUGGGGAGCAAACAGGAUUAGAAACCCUUGUAGUCCCAUGAU
Molecule: ribosomal RNA, 479 nt
Filed under: uncultured organism
Description: partial 16S ribosomal RNA
Rfam family: Bacterial small subunit ribosomal RNA
Source: RNAcentral